Molecule: long non-coding RNA, 954 nt
Organism: Dama dama (fallow deer)
Lineage: Eukaryota; Metazoa; Chordata; Mammalia; Artiodactyla; Cervidae
Exons: 3
Source: RefSeq, a predicted model, not a curated record
UCCCUGGGCAGUGGAGCCGGGCCUCUCGCUCUGAUCUGAAGAAGGCUUACCGGCUCCUUCACUCUGAUCUGUGAGGCUCUCCUUUGCCCAGAGAUGGGGAUAGACAGACAGAAAGGCAAAGACAAACUGUCCCCAGAGCCUGUGCUCCAGAGACCGGGAGCCGAAACUACUGUUCCCACGCGCUGCAGCCACUGAAGCGUGUGCCUAGAGCCCGUGCCCCCCAACAAGAGAAGCCGCCGCAAUGAGAAACCCAGGCACCAGAACCGGAGCGUAGCCCCCGCUUCCCACAAAAAGAGAAAAGCACGUGCAGCAGCAAAGACCCAGCACAAGCGAAAAAUAAGGGAUCUUCCUGACCCAGGAACUGAACCCAGGUCUCCUGCAUUGUGGGUGGAUUCUUUACUGCCUGAGCUACGAUACUAUCCAGCAAUAACAAGAAAGGAACUACUGAGACAUGAAAAAGAUGGAUGAAUCUCAAAGUAAUUAUGCUAAGUCAAAGAAGCCAAGUCAUGAUUUCAUUUAUAGAAAAGUCUAAGAAAUGCAAACUAGUAUACAGGGACAGCAUGGAUAUAGAAAAUGCUAUAUGUAUAGUGGGAUAUUAUUCAGCCAUAAGAGAGAAGGAAAUUCCAUGCUUUGCAACAAUGUGGAUGGACCUUGAGGGUAUCAUGCUAAGUGACAUAAGUCAUACAGAGAAAGUAAAGUAAAUAUUGUGUGUUCUCACUUAUAUGUGGAAUCUCAAAAUAGUCAGAUUCAUCAAGGCAGAGAGUAGAAUGGUGGUUGCCAGAGGCUAGGGGUGGGAGACAUGGGGAGAUAAUCAAAGGGUACACAGUUCAUUAUAAGAUGAACAUUUCCUGGUGAUGGAACUGUAUAGUGUAGUGACUACAGUGAACGAUGUUGUAUCAUAUACUUGAAAGUUCUUAAGAGUGUAGAUCUUAAAUGCUAUCACCACCAAGAAAA